UGUCGCAAUAUUACAUGGUACAUAGUCUAUGUUUAUUGUUGAAUGCUGGUUUUGGCAUAAUUACAAAAUGUCUUAGAUUCAACUUUUGAAAAAAUCUAGUCUUCCCUGGUAUUUUCCAUAUCCAUUUGCCUGCUAACUUAUAUGAAAGUUUAUAGAUGUGAUUAAUUUUAAGCAGCAUAAAGGCAAAAGAAAAUUUGGAAUGAUUAAAGCAUGACUUUGUCUUUAACCCUCUUGUUUACUGGGAACUUUUAACAUUUCCUCUGUGAUACUGAGGAGCUCUGCUGUCUGUUGCUGCCCUCUGUAGUGAUGAAGAAGAGAGCACAAGAUCGGCUUUGUUAAAUGCAAUAGAACUUGACUAUAAAAAUUUUCUCCAGAAUGCAAAUGCAGCCUAUUUGAGAAUCGUAUACUCUCUGAAAAUAAGAAGCCAAUAGGACUAUUUUUGCAUCUGACGUGCUCUUCUGCAAGCAAUAGACACUGAGAAAUAUAACCAGACUGCCUUUUUAGGACCCCAUUCCUGAAGUGUAAGUUCUGCUGAAGUCUGAGUGAGACUCCAGGACAUGUGUCUACAGUUUGUGGAGUGACAUUGCCAUUGGGAUUUUUUACAAAGAUCAUAUUUAACCCUUUCAAUGUCUGUUGGGGGAACAGCUGUAAAAAAAUAAAUGGUUAUAUAAUGGACCAUGAAUCCUUUUUCUUUCUUUUAGCUUAAAAAAGAAGUGGACAGCUCUAUUUAAUUUUAACACAGUCAAGACAUUAGGGGUUGGAUGAAGAAAGGUUGGGGUUUGGGAGGUGACUGAAAAAGCCUCUAUCUAUGGGCCUUUUAACAUUGUCUCCAUUUUCUUUUGAGAACAAGAGAAAACAUUAAACAUUUAAAUAUGUAGACUUUCGUAAGUAGAAAUAAG
This 899-nucleotide long non-coding RNA is filed under the name Ursus maritimus (polar bear). RNAcentral's name for it is "lncRNA (ENSUMAG00000005529.1)". The record is from RNAcentral. Lineage: Eukaryota; Metazoa; Chordata; Mammalia; Carnivora; Ursidae.